This 990-nucleotide ribosomal RNA is filed under the name uncultured Methylophilus sp. RNAcentral's name for it is "bacterial SSU rRNA". It matches the Rfam family "Bacterial small subunit ribosomal RNA", at positions 1 to 993 of the family's 1533-position model. The record is from RNAcentral. Lineage: Bacteria; Pseudomonadati; Pseudomonadota; Betaproteobacteria; Nitrosomonadales; Methylophilaceae.
CCUUAGAGUUUGAUCAUGGCUCAGAUUGAACGCUGGCGGAAUGCUUUACACAUGCAAGUCGAACGAUGAACCCUAGCUUGCUAGGGGGAUUAGUGGCGAACGGGUGAGUAAUAUAUCGGAACGUGCCUUGUAAUGGGGGAUAACUAGUCGAAAGAUUAGCUAAUACCGCAUACGCCCUGAGGGGGAAAGUAGGGGAUCUUCGGACCUUACGUUAUAAGAGCGGCCGAUAUCUGAUUAGCUAGUUGGUGGGGUAAUGGCCUACCAAGGCUUCGAUCAGUAGCUGGUCUGAGAGGACGACCAGCCACACUGGAACUGAGACACGGUCCAGACUCCUACGGGAGGCAGCAGUGGGGAAUUUUGGACAAUGGGCGCAAGCCUGAUCCAGCCAUUCCGCGUGAGUGAAGAAGGCCUUCGGGUUGUAAAGCUCUUUCGCAAGGGAAGAAAACUUACUUUCUAAUAAAGAGUGAGGCUGACGGUACCUUGAUAAGAAGCACCGGCUAACUACGUGCCAGCAGCCGCGGUAAUACGUAGGGUGCGAGCGUUAAUCGGAAUUACUGGGCGUAAAGCGUGCGCAGGCGGUUUGGCAAGUCAGAUGUGAAAUCCCCGAGCUCAACUUGGGAACUGCGUUUGAAACUGCCCAGACUAGAAUAUGUCAGAGGGGGGGUAGAAUUCCACGUGUAGCAGUGAAAUGCGUAGAGAUGUGGAGGGAUACCAAUGGCGAAGGCAGCCCCCUGGGGAUAAUAUUGACGCUCAUGCACGAAAGCGUGGGGGAGCAAACAGGAUUAGAUACCCUGGUAGUCCACGCCCUAACGAUGUCUACUAGUUGUCGGUGGAGUAAAAUCCAUGAGUAACGCAGCUAACGCGUGAAGUAGACCGCCUGGGGAGUACGGUCGCAAGAUUAAACUCAAAGGAAUUGACGGGGGCCCGACAAGCGUGAUUAUGUGGUUAAUUCGAUGCAACGCGAAACCUUACCUGGCUUGACAUGCCACU